Molecule: small nucleolar RNA, 137 nt
Organism: Lethenteron reissneri (Far Eastern brook lamprey)
Lineage: Eukaryota; Metazoa; Chordata; Hyperoartia; Petromyzontiformes; Petromyzontidae
Product: small nucleolar RNA SNORA17
Source: RefSeq, a predicted model, not a curated record
AAUGCCCCGUUUAGGCGUUACAGGGCUGGCGUCUCGGUGCUUUCCCUGUGUCACACGUGGGCAUAGAGAAUCAGGCUCCUAGUUUACACUCGGCCGCCACCUACAUGGUCGCCCUGAAUGAUUGUGGAGCCAACAUC